RNAcentral lists this long non-coding RNA (403 nucleotides) under Brassica rapa (field mustard). RNAcentral describes it as "long non-coding RNA (BRAP_LNC004244)". Lineage: Eukaryota; Viridiplantae; Streptophyta; Magnoliopsida; Brassicales; Brassicaceae. The record is from RNAcentral.
UCAUCGAGCUCUCUCACAAUCACUUUCUUCUGCGGCUGCCACCCACUCAACUCCACAAGGUAAGAGUGAGAUAUGUUGAGCACCUCAAGAUCCUUUAACCCGUCAAGGAUUUUGAUCAGUGCCUCCCUAUUUAUCGAAGAGCAUCUAAGGAUGAGAGUUUUGAGGUGAGGGAGGCAGCUGAUGAGGGUGUCUGCAAAGAAGAUCUCGAAUGGACCCAUGAUCUUUAACUCCUUGAAGUUGCUGCAGUUGUUGGCGAUCUCUGUGAAGAGGUAAGGCGGGUUUGCGAUGCUAGGCAUUGUUAGUGACUCGAGAUCUUUCCAAAUCCUUAUGGCUUUGCAUAUCCCAGUCAUCUUUAUUCUGUUCCAAGCUGGUAAGACGAGUCGUCUCAGCCCUGGACACCUGC